GGGAGCGUAGGCGGCUGAUUAAGUCAGCGGUGAAACCGGUAGCAGCUUAACUGUUUUACAUGCCGUUGAUACUGGUUAGCUUGAGUUGACAGAAGGCAGAUAGAAUUCCUGGUGUAGCGGUGAAAUGCUUAGAUACCAGGAGGAAUACCGAUUGCGAAGGCAGUCUGCUGCAGUCACACUGACGCUGAGGCUCGAAGGUGCGGGGAUCAAACAGGAUUAGAUACCCUAGU
This 230-nucleotide ribosomal RNA is filed under the name uncultured bacterium. RNAcentral describes it as "partial 16S ribosomal RNA". It matches the Rfam family "Bacterial small subunit ribosomal RNA", at positions 565 to 791 of the family's 1533-position model. The record is from RNAcentral.